AAGAACCUACGGGGGGCAGCAGUGGGGAAUAUUGCGCAAUGGGCGAAAGCCUGACGCAGCGACGCCGCGUGAGGGAUGAAGGUCUUCGGAUCGUAAACCUCUGUCAGCAGGGAAGAACGGUCACUGUGCUAAUCAGCAGUGAAUUGACGGUACCUGCAAAGGAAGCACCGGCUAACUCCGUGCCAGCAGACGCGGUAAUACGGAGGGUGCGAGCGGUAAUCGGAAUUACAGGGCGUAAAGAGCUCGUAGGCGGUAUGUCAAGUCAAGGGCGAAAUCCCCGCGAUCAACGUGG
This 292-nucleotide ribosomal RNA is filed under the name uncultured bacterium. RNAcentral describes it as "partial 16S ribosomal RNA". It matches the Rfam family "Bacterial small subunit ribosomal RNA", at positions 333 to 617 of the family's 1533-position model. The record is from RNAcentral.